AUUAGGUUUUAUUGCCUUUUUGAUUUAAAUGCUUAGAAUUCCAAUUUGAUUAAAUGUUUUUAUAUCCAGAUUUUUCCAUUAUUAGGUUUUAUUGCCUUUUUGGUUUUAAAUGCUUAGUAUUCAAAUUUGAUUAAUUGUUUUUGUAUGCAGAUUUUUCCAUAAUUAGGUUUUGUUGCCUUUUUGGUUUUCCUCUCUAAUUGGAUUGAAUUUAAUUUCAGAUAAUCUACCAGUGAACUGAUCCAGUUUCGAGGUAAGUAUAAUUAUUUUUCUUCAUUCCACCACAUUGGUCCAUCCGGGUUGUAUGUAGGUCUUUUGGUUCUUUGUUCGUCUAUGUCAAUUAAGCUCAAACAGCCCUUUUCUUAUAUAAUAAAAUGAAUUUUAAAUGAAAAUACUUUAAAAUAGAACUAAGGCGAGCUUGAUAAAGUACAUAAAAGAAAAAUUAUAAAAUUAAAAUGAAAAAUACAAAAAAACUCUGAAAAAAUAAUAAAACUAACUA
This is a long non-coding RNA of Cynoglossus semilaevis (tongue sole), 496 nucleotides long. RefSeq lists it as uncharacterized. The record is from RefSeq and is a predicted model, not a curated record. The transcript has 2 exons. Lineage: Eukaryota; Metazoa; Chordata; Actinopteri; Pleuronectiformes; Cynoglossidae.